AAGAUAUUGAUGAUGCUCAAAAGUAUUCUAAUCGAUCAACAAGGGCACUUUAUAAACAAAGGGAUUAUAUUAUCAACUGCACUAUAUCAAUGUUGCUGUGUGUAUUCAAGACAUUGAAGUGAUUCAUUGAAUUGGAAUUUCAAAUACUGGUAUUUGUCAAGGAAGUAAUAGAGGCAUUCAGUAAGCGAUCCAGUGGAUUUGCCUUGUGCUCAGCUGAGACCAGAGGCCGCGGAAGCGGGGGGGGCAUUGGGGGCAAGUGCCCCCCACUUUUUACAACAGGGAAAAAUUUGCCCUUUUUCUGGAAUGAAAGUGCCCUUUUUCAUGGUGUAGAAAUGCCCUUGUUUUAGGUAAAAUUGGACUGAAGAAGUUUUUCUUAGAUAAAAGUAGCCCCGAGAGUAGAACAAAGUCUGUCGGCAUCAUGCGAAAUCAGCUAUAGCUUAGUUUUUUAUCUUGAUUACCCAGAUGGAUCAAAAAUCGCGUUUGUUGAUUGGGGUUGUCUUCGUAGACGUCCGCCCAGUAACUUAAUUAACCAAUGAGAAGUCGCAAUUUAUGAUCCACAUGAGACUAUAAAUUCUACGGCAACGCAUUGCUCCCGUCGUAUUGUCUUUCAGGCCAUUGGUCCUACAAAACUGUUGACAAUUCAUGAUCAUAAUAAUUGAAAAUUUUGCGGUUUAAAUCACUUUUAAUCAAAAUCAUCAUGCCUAGAGCUGCUAGGUGAAA
Molecule: long non-coding RNA, 720 nt
Organism: Xenia sp. Carnegie-2017
Lineage: Eukaryota; Metazoa; Cnidaria; Anthozoa; Malacalcyonacea; Xeniidae
Exons: 3
Source: RefSeq, a predicted model, not a curated record